UACGGGGGGGGCAAGCGUUGUUCGGAAUUACUGGGCGUAAAGCGCGUGUAGGCGGCAGCGUGUGUCGGGCGUGAAAUCCCACGGCUCAACCGUGGAAGUGCACCCGAAACUGCGCAGCUAGAGUCCUGGAGAGGAAGGUGGAAUUCCUGGUGUAGCGGUGAAAUGCGCAGAUAUCAGGAGGAACACCGGUGGCGAAGGCGGAUCUCUGGGCCAUUACUGACGCUGAGGAGCGAAAGCGUGGGGAGCGAACAGG
This 253-nucleotide ribosomal RNA is filed under the name uncultured bacterium. RNAcentral describes it as "partial 16S ribosomal RNA". It matches the Rfam family "Bacterial small subunit ribosomal RNA", at positions 524 to 776 of the family's 1533-position model. The record is from RNAcentral.